AGAACGAACGCUGGCGGCAUGCCUAAUACAUGCAAGUCGAACGAACUCUUCGGAGUUAGUGGCGCACGGGUGCGUAACGCGUGGGAAUCUGCCCCUUGGUUCGGAAUAACAGUUGGAAACGACUGCUAAUACCGGAUGAUGACGAAAGUCCAAAGAUUUAUCGCCAAGGGAUGAGCCCGCGUAGGAUUAGCUAGUUGGUGAGGUAAAGGCUCACCAAGGCAACGAUCCUUAGCUGGUCUGAGAGGAUGAUCAGCCACACUGGGACUGAGACACCGGCCCAG
RNAcentral lists this ribosomal RNA (281 nucleotides) under uncultured soil bacterium. RNAcentral's name for it is "partial 16S ribosomal RNA". It matches the Rfam family "Bacterial small subunit ribosomal RNA", at positions 26 to 334 of the family's 1533-position model. The record is from RNAcentral.